RNAcentral lists this unclassified non-coding RNA (258 nucleotides) under rhizosphere metagenome. RNAcentral's name for it is "partial ribosomal RNA internal transcribed spacer region". The record is from RNAcentral.
GAAUAAACUUGGUCAAGCUGUUGCUGGUCCUUCGGGGCAUGUGCACGUUUGCCACCAAUUUUAACCACCUGUGCACCUUUUGUAGACUUGGAAACGUUUCUCGAGGCAACUCGGAUUGAGGACUGCUGCGCGCAAGCCAGCUGUUCUUGUGUUUCUUGGUCUAUGUUUUAUAUACUCCGAAUGUAUGUAUCAGAAUGUAUGUCAAGGCCUAGCGCCUUUAAACUAAAUACAACUUUCAACAACGGAUCUCUUGGCUCU